GAUGAAGAACGUAGCGAAAUGCGAUACUUGGUGUGAAUUGCAGAAUCCCGUGAACCAUCGAGUCUUUGAACGCAAGUUGCGCCCGAAGCCAUUAGGCCGAGGGCACGCCUGCCUGGGCGUCACACGUCGUUGCCCCCCCAUCUACUCCUUCGGGAUUGCGGGGGGCGGAUGAUGGCCUCCCGUGCGCCUCGCCGCGCGGUUGGCAUAAAUGCCAAGUCCUCGGCGACGCACGCCACGACAAUCGGUGGUUGCGAAACCUCGGUUGCCCGUCGUGUGCGGUCGUCGCGCAUCGAGGGCUCGAAAAAAUUGCCGGGUUCCGGCUCGGCUUUCAACGCGACCCCAGGUCAAGCGGGGUUACCCGCUGAAUUUAAGCAUAUCAAUAAGCGGAGGA
RNAcentral lists this unclassified non-coding RNA (391 nucleotides) under soil metagenome. Its description in RNAcentral is "partial contains 5.8S ribosomal RNA, internal transcribed spacer 2, and large subunit ribosomal RNA". The stretch from base 1 to 122 matches the Rfam family "5.8S ribosomal RNA", at positions 35 to 154 of the family's 154-position model. The record is from RNAcentral.